This 470-nucleotide ribosomal RNA is filed under the name uncultured Alcaligenes sp. Its description in RNAcentral is "bacterial SSU rRNA". It matches the Rfam family "Bacterial small subunit ribosomal RNA", at positions 49 to 510 of the family's 1533-position model. Lineage: Bacteria; Pseudomonadati; Pseudomonadota; Betaproteobacteria; Burkholderiales; Alcaligenaceae. The record is from RNAcentral.
UUACCAUGCAGUCGAACGGCAGCACGAGAGAGCUUGCUCUCUUGGUGGCGAGUGGCGGACGGGUGAGUAAUAUAUCGGAACGUGCCUAGUAGCGGGGGAUAACUACUCGAAAGAGUGGCUAAUACCGCAUACGCCCUACGGGGGAAAGGGGGGGAUCGCAAGACCUCUCACUAUUAGAGCGGCCGAUAUCGGAUUAGCUAGUUGGUGGGGUAAAGGCUCACCAAGGCAACGAUCCGUAGCUGGUUUGAGAGGACGACCAGCCACACUGGGACUGAGACACGGCCCAAACUCCUACGGGAGGCAGCAGUGGGGAAUUUUGGACAAUGGGGGAAACCCUGAUCCAGCCAUCCCGCGUGUAUGAUGAAGGCCUUCGGGUUGUAAAGUACUUUUGGCAGAGAAGAAAAGGUACCUCCUAAUACGAGGUACUGCUGACGGUAUCUGCAGAAUAAGCACCGGCUAACUACGUGCCA